GAACUUAUGACUAUAGUGAAAAGCCUCGUAUAUUCAGCAACGAAGAACGAUUUAUUCACGUCAUGGGGAAAAUUCAAGGCUAAUCCUCUUUCGGAGAAGUAUCCUAACUUUAGAAGCUAUCUAGGCUCACUGAUGGAAAGGAGUGACGAGUGGGCGAUAACGUUCAGGGCAGGUGCGGUGCUACGUGGACAUCACACCAACAACUUCUGUGAGGCAACAAUGUGCAUCAUUAAGGAAGUCGUUCUUAAUAGAUGCAAGGCAUACAACGCAACGCAGCUGAUCAUUUUCAUGGCCGAAAUCUUUGACAGCUACAUGAAGAAGAGGCUGGUGGACGUUGCGCUUGGCAGACGGAGAGUGAAAUCAUUAAGCACGGCUACACUGCCUCUAGAAAUGGUUACUUUCCAAGGUAACGGAAAGUACAGAGUCCAGAGCCAGUCUACUCCAUCCCUUCAGUACGACGUAGAUCUUGUGACUGGAUUUUGUGAGUGUACUGCAGGGGAAAAUGGUUCCUUGUGUAAACAUCAAGCUGCCUGUGCAGACUACAGCAUGACGGUCCUGCCCCAAGUCUUCACUGCCACUACUGAAAACAGACGGUGGCUGGCGUCAGUGGCAGUAGGCGACGAGAAAGUUCCACCCGAAGGCUUUUUUAGAGGACUGUUGGAGCCAACAUUAGAAAAAGAAGAAACUGCCUGUGCUUCUCCUGUUCAGGAAUCCCAGGAAAGCACAGAGAUCCAGCUAAUGCCUCCUGAAGUGAACGUCGAGAAUCAAGAUGAAAAUCCGCACCAGUCUCCAGAUGUUGGCGAGUUUGUAGCUACAUUCCAAAAUG
Long non-coding RNA from Eriocheir sinensis (Chinese mitten crab), 826 nucleotides. RefSeq lists it as uncharacterized. The record is from RefSeq and is a predicted model, not a curated record. Lineage: Eukaryota; Metazoa; Arthropoda; Malacostraca; Decapoda; Varunidae. The transcript has 3 exons.